This 706-nucleotide unclassified non-coding RNA is filed under the name Hevea brasiliensis (rubber tree). Lineage: Eukaryota; Viridiplantae; Streptophyta; Magnoliopsida; Malpighiales; Euphorbiaceae. The record is from RNAcentral.
GGACUUCACAAUACCAGUUACCAUGUUAGAUAUACUUUCUUGUGACAGUGAAGUUCUACUUGACCCAUUGGAUGGCUAGAUUCCAUGAAUAGAAUGGAAAUGAGGCAGAAGAAUGAAAGAGAAAAGAACUGGGAAAAGUAUUUAUCAGGAGAAAGAUGGAUUCACGUCAGGAGAGCCUUGACUGUGUAGCAGUUUGGUCAAUUAAAGCACAUCAAAUGCCAUUUAUUCAGAUGAAACUGAUCAUUGAGAUAUGAAGAUGUUUCAAUUGCAGAUGGAUGCUGAGCCUCGGUUAUUCCAAUAAAGGAACAAAGGGAAUGCAGAAAGUCCACCAAAAUAAGGUGCGGUAUUCAUGCCUCCCAUUUAUCAACUUUUAUUUACUUAAAACUAUGUGCAUGAAUGUAUUUUCUUUAAGCAUUUUAAGUUACUUGUUAUUUUUGUGGCUUGAAAUUUAGAUAUAUUUUUCAUGGACCUGAAAUUUGAUUUGACCCGAAAGUUUCGCUUUGCUAUCCAAUUGGGAUAAAAAGUGAGAUCAGUGGUGGGCUUCGGGCUCGGGCUGUUGCCCCUGCAGUAUGGACCAGUAUAAAUAUUGUAAUAUUCUACCCUUUGUGGUAGAGUUGUGAGAUAUUCGGAAAACAUACUGGGGUUAGGGUUUGCUCUUUUUCAUCAUAGUGAAACUUUUUUCUCUUGUCUUGCCCGUGGACGUAGA